This 253-nucleotide ribosomal RNA is filed under the name uncultured bacterium. RNAcentral describes it as "partial 16S ribosomal RNA". It matches the Rfam family "Bacterial small subunit ribosomal RNA", at positions 524 to 776 of the family's 1533-position model. The record is from RNAcentral.
UACGGAGGGUGCAAGCGUUAUCCGGAUUCACUGGGCUUAAAGGGUGCGUAGGUGGGCCGGUAAGUCAGUGGUGAAAUCUCCGGGCUUAACUCGGAAACUGCCAUUGAUACUAUCUUUCUUGAAUACCGUGGAGGUCAGCGGAAUAUGUCAUGUAGCGGUGAAAUGCUUAGAUAUGACAUAGAACACCAAUGGCGAAGGCAGCUGGCUACACGAAUAUUGACACUGAGGCACGAAAGCGUGGGGAUCAAACAGG